This 253-nucleotide ribosomal RNA is filed under the name uncultured bacterium. RNAcentral's name for it is "partial 16S ribosomal RNA". It matches the Rfam family "Bacterial small subunit ribosomal RNA", at positions 524 to 776 of the family's 1533-position model. The record is from RNAcentral.
UACGGGGGGAGCAAGCGUUGUUCGGAAUUACUGGGCGUAAAGCGCGCGUAGGCGGCUUUGUAAGUUAGAGGUGAAAGCCCGAAGCUCAACUUCGGAAUUGCCUUUAAGACUGCAUCGCUAGAAUCGUGGAGAGGUGAGUGGAAUUCCGAGUGUAGAGGUGAAAUUCGUAGAUAUUCGGAAGAACACCAGUGGCGAAGGCGACUCACUGGACACGUAUUGACGCUGAGGUGCGAAAGCGUGGGGAGCAAACAGG